AGGGUGAUCACUAUCAAGGAUUCCGAAGGGUUGAUUAGGAUAUCUAGGUUGGCUACUACUUUCAACUUGCUUAUCUUUUCUAGGUCGGGGAGCCGGGGAGGGGGAGUCUUUUGGCCACUACUUUCACCGAUUUUACCUUUUCCUUUACCGAACAUAUUUUUCAACGAAAAUGCCAUAAUAAUUAGAAUUAAGCAAACUAAAAACACCUUUACCGAACUUUUUUUUCAACGAAAAUGCCAUACUAAUUAUAAUUAAGCAAACUAACAACACACAAAAAAUACUAUUAGCACGUAAGAGUUGAAACGAGUUUACCGG
Molecule: long non-coding RNA, 315 nt
Filed under: Nicotiana benthamiana
Lineage: Eukaryota; Viridiplantae; Streptophyta; Magnoliopsida; Solanales; Solanaceae
Description: long non-coding RNA (NBEN_LNC012673)
Source: RNAcentral